Molecule: long non-coding RNA, 696 nt
Organism: Nerophis ophidion (straightnose pipefish)
Lineage: Eukaryota; Metazoa; Chordata; Actinopteri; Syngnathiformes; Syngnathidae
Exons: 4
Source: RefSeq, a predicted model, not a curated record
AGAAGACGAGAGGUCGUUGAACAGAGGCCCAUGAUAGAGGAAAUCAAAACUGGUGACCCGCCCGGUUUCAGCAGAGUGAAGUACUAUCUAUCAAUAAAGUACUAUCUAAUUAAUGAGGAGUUCUUGCAAAUCACUACAAAGCCACUGCAGUCAAAGUUUAUAAACAUCUGGACCACAUUUCACUCAAGCUGAUGCAGAACCUCAAAAGCAAAGUGUGACGACACUGACAUCAGGAAGGAGAGCAUCCUGAGAAGCCUUGUUAUCCGUCUCAAUGAAGACCCAGACACUUUCUUCAAGGAAUAUCUAGCCUCCGCCACUGAGGAUGCAGAAAGGGACAUUGCCCUCACAGUCAUGGGGAUAUACAGUACAUAAUCCGUGGAGAUGGCGAUAGGGAGCCAGAGGAUGUUGGAGUUGUUAUCGAAGGCAUCAAAGUCCUGAGCAACGUGGACAUUGUCAUCAUGGGGAUUAUAAUGAUGUUUGGUCUCAAUUAUGCUCUCGAUCUAAGGUUUCCAGACAACCUCAAGUACACAUUCGAGUUUUUCCAGAAGAUCCUAAUGAACUUGGAUGGUCACAAACUGAACACAAAGAUACAGCAGCUGAAAAUCAAGUUGUUUGCAUGGGAGGUGAACACUUGUUGAUGAAGUUCAUCAUCGGAUCUUUGACAUCUUGUGGUAAAGUAAAAAUAAUCACCAUCGA